RNAcentral lists this ribosomal RNA (402 nucleotides) under uncultured bacterium. RNAcentral describes it as "bacterial SSU rRNA". It matches the Rfam family "Bacterial small subunit ribosomal RNA", at positions 975 to 1375 of the family's 1533-position model. The record is from RNAcentral.
CAACCCUUGACAUGGGACGUAUGGGCUUCAGAGAUGAGGUCCUUCAGUUCGGCUGGCGUCCACACAGGUGCUGCAUGGCUGUCGUCAGCUCGUGUCGUGAGAUGUUGGGUUAAGUCCCGCAACGAGCGCAACCCUCAUCUUCAGUUGCCAUCAUUUAGUUGGGCACUCUGAAGAAACUGCCGGUGACAAGCCGGAGGAAGGCGGGGAUGACGUCAAGUCCUCAUGGCCCUUACGGGUUGGGCUACACACGUGCUACAAUGGCGGUGACAAUGGGGAGCAAAGGCGCGAGCCCGAGCCGAUCUCAAAAAGCCGUCUCAGUUCGGAUUGCACUCUGCAACUCGGGUGCAUGAAGUUGGAAUCGCUAGUAAUCGCGUAUCAGCAUGACGCGGUGAAUACGUUCCC